CCCUUAGAUGUUCUGGGCCGCACGCGCGCUACACUGAUGCAUUCAACGAGUCUAAAACCUGGUCUGAUAGGGCUGGGUAAUCUUUUGAAUGUGCAUCGUGAUUGGGAUAGAUGAUUGCAAUUCUUCAUCUUCAACGAGGAAUGCCUAGUAAACGCAAGUCAUCAGCUUGCAUUGAUCACGUCCCUGCCCUUUGUACGCACCGCCCGUCGCUCCUACCGAUUGAAUGUUCCGAUGAAUACCAUGGACUGAGAGUAUGAAUGGGUUCGCCUAUUUCUGCUUCUCGGGAAGUGGAGUAAAUCUUAACAUUUAGAGGAAGGAGAAGUCGUAACA
Molecule: ribosomal RNA, 330 nt
Filed under: uncultured eukaryote
Lineage: Eukaryota
Description: partial 18S ribosomal RNA
Rfam family: Eukaryotic small subunit ribosomal RNA
Source: RNAcentral